RNAcentral lists this long non-coding RNA (240 nucleotides) under Cavia porcellus (domestic guinea pig). Its description in RNAcentral is "lncRNA (ENSCPOG00000039051.1)". Lineage: Eukaryota; Metazoa; Chordata; Mammalia; Rodentia; Caviidae. The record is from RNAcentral.
CUUUUCCUAAAAUUCCUUCCUCCCCUGAGAUGAGUGAGAUGCACUGUUUCCCACAAGAUGGUGGUGGUGCCAGGAAUUCUCAGUCAAGCACCUUCCGUCAACCUCCAAGAGAAGGUAGUAACUCCAGCAUGGAAGAGAAGGGAUCUCCAUUGUCACUAAGACAAGAAAACUUUAGAUAUGAUGAUGUUGAGCUUAGUGUCAUGUAAUGCCAUAUUUGUAGCAACUAAGUCUACAAAGAAC